Molecule: ribosomal RNA, 460 nt
Filed under: uncultured bacterium
Lineage: Bacteria
Description: partial 16S ribosomal RNA
Rfam family: Bacterial small subunit ribosomal RNA
Source: RNAcentral
CCUACGGGAGGCAGCAGUGAGGAAUAUUGGUCAAUGGACGAGAGUCUGAACCAGCCAAGUAGCGUGAAGGAUGACUGCCCUAUGGGUUGUAAACUUCUUUUAUAUGGGAAUAAAAUGUUCCACGUGUGGGAUUUUGUAUGUACCAUAUGAAUAAGGAACGGCUAACUCCGUGCCAGCAGCCGCGGUAAUACGGAGGAUCCGAGCGUUAUCCGGAUUUAUUGGGUUUAAAGGGAGCGUAGGUGGAUUGUUAAGUCAGUUGUGAAAGUUUGCGGCUCAAACGUAAAAUUGCAGUUGAAACUGGCAGUCUAGAGUACAGUAGAGGUGGGCGGAAUUCGUGGUGUAGCGGUGAAAUGCUUAGAUAUCACGAAGAACUCCGAUUGCGAAGGCAGUUCUCUGGACUUUAACUGACGCUGAGGCUCGAAAGCGUGGGGAGCAAACAGGAUUAGAUACCCCGGUAGUC